This 838-nucleotide ribosomal RNA is filed under the name Seussapex sp. n. 3 AW-2016. RNAcentral's name for it is "partial 16S ribosomal RNA". The stretch from base 579 to 838 matches the Rfam family "Bacterial large subunit ribosomal RNA", at positions 2045 to 2600 of the family's 2925-position model. The record is from RNAcentral. Lineage: Eukaryota; Metazoa; Platyhelminthes; Cestoda; Lecanicephalidea; Polypocephalidae.
CUUAAUCGAUUUUUAUAAAUAAAAUUUUUAAACCGAAAAUGUACGGAUUUUAUGUUUUAGUUGAAGUUAUGAUAAAUCUUAGUUCUUUGAUUAGUCAGGUAGACUUAAGUAAAACUUUACAUACGCUGUGAUAAAUUAUUCGGUGUCAUUUAUAUCUGUUUGGUGGUCUUAUAUUUCAAGUUAUUUAUCUGGCUAAGAGGUCAGAUAAACAAUAAUAUCUGUUUUUUAUGUUUACUAAAAAAGGGUUAAAAUUACCCAGUUUUUAUAAUUGUGUUACAACUUUUAACAUUAAUAUUUACUAGAUUUAUUUUAAAAGCCUCAUACAUUUUAACAAUUAGGGUUUAUUAUGAUUAAAUAAGUAAUAUCAAUAUAGCUUUUGUUUCUCGAGACUUGCCUGUCUGUUUAUUAAAAACAUUUCCACUUGUGUACCAUAAGUGGUAGUACCUGCUCUAUGCUUAGGUAAAUGGCCGCAGUAUCUUGACUGUGCGAAGGUAGCAUAAUUAAUUGCCUUAUAAUUGAGGGCUUGUCUGAAUGGUUUGACAAGGUAAGGUUAACAUGGUUUAUAUUUUUGAAAUUAAUAAUGGGGGCACAGAAUCCCCUUAAAUUAAUUAGACGGAAAGACCCCGGGAUCUUUAUAUUUUGUCUGGGGCAGAUUAUAGUUAUUCACUUAUUAAUUUGACCCUAAUGGUUCAUUGGUGAAAGUUACCCCGGGGAUAACAGUGUAAUAGUCUAUUAGAGAUCUUAUCGAAUUGACUGUUUGCCACCUCGAUGUUGACUUAGGUUUAAACCCGGGCGCAGUAGUUCGGGUUUUAGGUCUGUUCGACCUUUUAUACCUCCA